RNAcentral lists this long non-coding RNA (2638 nucleotides) under Marmota monax (woodchuck). The record is from RNAcentral. Lineage: Eukaryota; Metazoa; Chordata; Mammalia; Rodentia; Sciuridae.
GGCUUCCUCAGUAGAGAUGUUUUUCUUUGUGGCUGGCUUGUUAUCAAAAUAAGCUGUUGAGGGGGGAUGUUCCACAUUUUAGUGGUUUUGUGUUCAUUAAAACUUGAGUGCAAGCCAAAGUUCAGGGCCUUGGCUGAAGUUUGAUCAAGCCAAAGUUAGAUGUGUGAGUCGUGGGCAAUUGUGAGUACCUGGUCACAAGGAGAGGUGUUCAGGUGUAAGGUAAAAUAGAGUGAUUGGUGAGGAACUGACAUAUUAGCCGACUUUAAGUAAAAGAGAGCUCAAAGGCUUGAAAGUUACAAGAGAGCAACACAGGCUGCUAUCAGGAGAACAGCAUUCUAGGCAGAGGGAAGGGCCAGCACAAAGCACUGAGGCAGGAGCAGAACUGUUGGGGUUGAAAAAUGAAAUGAUGAGUUGUAUUUUCCAAAGAUUGCCCCAGUAAUGUCUCCCGUCUCACUGCUCCUCUGUGAUGCAACUUUGCCACAUUUCCAGGAACAAGAAAAAUGUAUUUCUCCAUGCACAUGAAACCUGUUUCUCCUCACAUACAGCAAUAUUUAUUGAGCAUUUGCUUUACAUCAGAUAUUUCCUAGACUUUGGGGAUAGAAAGCCAAAUGAAAUGUUCCUCUAAGGAAUUUAUGACUAUCCCAUCAAUUAAAGAAUAUUUACUGCUGUGUGACUACAUGUAAGACACCGUGCUGAAUGCAAUGAGAAAUACAAAUGUGGUGAGAGGCACAUGUUCAGUCUAAUUGGAAACAUUGCAGAAGCACAGAUUAUUCAGCUCACUGGAAGCAAAGCCUACAAGAAAUGCCACAAGCAAGCGAAGGUGUCAGUAGGGGGCAGCAUAUAAGAUUAUAUGCUCAAUGAUGAAGAAGUAGCCCAAACUGAAAAAGAUUUAGAGAAGCUUCACAGGAAGGCAAAUGAAUAGAAAAAAUGCAGGAUGAGGAACAUGGGUAUUAGAAAUCAAUAAGAAGGCAAUUAUGGAGAAAGAAAAUUGAUAUAAAAAUUAAAUGUGACAAUAUGAAUGAGAUUGAAGGACACUCUGCUAAGUGUAAUAGGCCAGUCAUAGGACAAUCUAGUUCCACUUAUAUGAGGUAUCAAAUAAUCUGUGCUUUUAGGCAUCCAAGGAACUUCUUGGAACACAUUCCCUGCAGAUGAGGAGGGACUAAGUUUGUUAAAAGGGUAGGUCUCCUAUUAAAUGUUCUUGCUACCAUAAGAAAACAAUAAAAACUCAAAAGCUCUGGGCGCUGAGACAGGAGGAUCAUAAGCCUCAGCAACUUAGAAAGGUCUGAGCAAAUUAGUGAGAACCUGUCUCAAAAUUGAAAAAUAAAAAAUAAAAACAAAAAGGGCUGGAGAUAUAGCUCAGUAGUUAAGUGCCCCUGGGUUCAAUCCCUGGUACCAAAAACCAAACCAAAAACAAAAACAAAACAAACAACCUUCAGAUAGGAAUAUUUUAAAAGGUGGUGAUACAUCACAAAUGGAAAAGACCGUGCACAUGAUUUUGGAGAAUGGCCUUUUUCUGAACCAUGGCAGGGGAGGGGUUUGGUGAACGUGGAAGAUCUGGACCAUUGGAUGCAUCAAACAAUUUAUAUUUUAAGAAAACCAAUCUAGAGGUGGAAGAUGGGGUGGAGUGUGGAUGGGGCAUGACUCAAAUAAUGCCACUGAAGUGGAUUUCUACAUAGACUAGUACAGGUCCUUUAAAGCUUUUCAACCGUACUGAGGCUCUCCCUUUCUAUCAAUGCAUGUGGUUUUGUACAUUUAUGAUGGGGGUGUGAGUCCAUGGGGGUGUGAGUCCGAGACUGCAAGGAAGAUCUCUUUGUUAACACAAGAGUCAUAGGUACUCAGUUUUUGCUGCCUGGAAUGUCAUUCAUUCCUUCACAUUCUAACUAUCCUAGGUGCAUAAGAAUUCAAUUGCAAUACUUGGGUUUUCCAUAGAUCUUACAACAAAAAAGUGCUUAAUUUGUUUUAGGAUUUAUAUGUCUCUUAUUUUCUGAUUUUCAAUCAUAUAUUAACAAACACUGAUACUUUCAUGUCUUCUGAUCUCAUUUGUAUACCCACCCACUUACCUGCUCCCACACAGAGGUUUCUGAGCAUAAUGCCUGACACUUACUGUCUCUCAAAAAGUAAUAUUUCAUGAUUGUCUUCCUUUCCCCGCUUUGAAGGUGUUUUGAAAAAUUGUCCAGUAAAUGUCAGAGUUAAAUGCUUUCAUUUUAGAGUCUUCAUCAACGCCUUCUAUUGUUUUAACUCUCUUCAUCUCGUCCUGAAACUCAGAAAUUUCUUUUUUUUUAAUUCUUUUAUUCAUUAAAAUUAUUUACUGAGCACUUACUACAUGGGUAACUGACACCCAGACAUGACCCACCCACCAGUUCUACAGAGGCCCGAAUCUCCCAAGGAAGUCAGACAUUGAUUUCAAUCUUUGUAGUAGAGAUAAGAGAUACCACACAAGCACAAGCAAAUUGCUGAAGUUCUCAUUUUAUUCCAAUUUUUAUUAAUUAAUAUAUUUAUUAGUGCUUGAUAAAUUGAUUAAAUUCAAAUGUGUAAAUUUCACAGAUAUUUUCCCCCCCCAGAAUUUUAUCAGAAAUGUAAUAUAAUUUGUUACCCUUGCAUUGUUUUAUUUAUGAUUUGUGUUGUCAUUUUCCUUUUC